CAGCAGCCGCGGUAAUACGAAGGGGGCUAGCGUUGCUCGGAAUGACUGGGCGUAAAGGGCGCGUAGGCGGCGAUCAAAGUCAGGCGUGAAAUUCCUGGGCUCAACCUGGGGGCUGCGCUUGAUACUUGGUUGCUUGAGUGGGGAAGAGGGUCGUGGAAUUCCCAGUGUAGAGGUGAAAUUCGUAGAUAUUGGGAAGAACACCGGUGGCGAAGGCGGCGACCUGGUCCUUGACUGACGCUGAGGCGCGAAAGCGUGGGGAGCAAACAGGAUUAGAGACCCCGGUAGUCCCUGUCUCUUAUAC
Molecule: ribosomal RNA, 301 nt
Filed under: uncultured bacterium
Lineage: Bacteria
Description: partial 16S ribosomal RNA
Rfam family: Bacterial small subunit ribosomal RNA
Source: RNAcentral